AACGUAGGACGCGAGCGUUAUCCGGAUUUACUGGGCGUAAAGCGCGGGCAGGCGGUGGUCCAAGUCGGACGUGAAAGCUCCCGGCUCAACUGGGAGAGGUCGUUCGAAACUGGGCCGCUAGAGGGCAGUAGAGGGGCGUGGAAUUCCGGGUGGAGUGGUGAAAUGCGUAGAGAUCCGGAGGAACACCAGAGGCGAAGGCGGCGCCCUGGGCUGCACCUGACGCUGAGCCGCGAAAGCUAGGGGAGCGAACGGGAUUAGAAACCCGCGUAGUCC
Molecule: ribosomal RNA, 273 nt
Filed under: uncultured prokaryote
Description: partial 16S ribosomal RNA
Rfam family: Bacterial small subunit ribosomal RNA
Source: RNAcentral